AUAAAACGGUGCCAUGAACUGUUUCAUUGUAGCGAAUUUGUGAUAUUUUACGACGAGAAAAAUGCCGCAAUAAAUAAAAAGCAGUUGCGACGUAAGUAAAUGACAGGAUUGUCAUUUUAAUGGCAAAUUACCUUUAGUAUUUGUAUACGAGGGCGGCAAAACCCAACAAAAACAAAACUUUUCCCCCUCGAUUUUGGUUUCAGUACACUCCCAAAAACCCCCUCAUUUUCAUCUGCUUCAUCGAUUUCCGGCUACUUGCAACUGAAUCCACCUCACUACGUUGCCAUACGGCUUCCCUUAUCCACAGAAAACCAGCCCUAGUAGCAUCGUCCACCCAUUUGGAAAUCCAUGCAAGCUAGACCCUUCGAAUGGGAAUCAUACGAUAAAGCCAGCCAUUAGCGCCAAAAAUCUCCUCCCCUUUUGGGUCCAAAAUCUGGACUUUGUGUUAUUUGGUAAGCCUCUAUUUCGAGAUCAACCACGCCCCGUUUCCUGCUAAGAGAGAGUUUCCCAUGUAGCCUCCCCGUCCUCUCCUUCACUCGCUUCUCACCAAUUUCGAGUCCCUUUUGCUUUUUCCAUCCAAAUACAGAACCCGACAAUUUGUUGUUGGGCAGAGAAUUGGAGGUGGAGAUCCUCGCGAUUCCUUGGCAAUUCUCACGCAUGCACCACGGCUGGAUCUUUGUUUGCACAAUACUGAAGGGGAUCUAUCCAUUUGUAUAGUCGCAAGGGUGCAAUGAAGUUGUGGAUGUUCCAGCCACCAAUGUUUCAUCACAAUAUGAACUGGGUGCAUCUGAACCUCUUGACUAUUGUGUGUUUAUUGAGAGAUUACAUCGGAGAAAAUAUCCAUAUGUAUGCUUGUAAGAUAUAUUAGCUGCUUCGAUUUAUAGUACUUAGUUGCCUUUCAUUAAUGGACCAUUGAUCCAGUGUAUAGAUUACUAAAAGAAUCAAUACAAUGUUGUAUUGGAUGAUUGAAUAUAUUUAUAUUAUUAAAAAAUGGAAUGAUUGUUAAA
Long non-coding RNA from Carya illinoinensis, 1007 nucleotides. RefSeq lists it as uncharacterized. The transcript has 2 exons. The record is from RefSeq and is a predicted model, not a curated record. NCBI's taxonomy places the organism in Eukaryota, Viridiplantae, Streptophyta, Magnoliopsida, Fagales, Juglandaceae.